This is an unclassified non-coding RNA of Papio anubis (olive baboon), 117 nucleotides long. It matches the Rfam family "Metazoan signal recognition particle RNA". From Rfam's summary of the family: The signal recognition particle (SRP) is a universally conserved ribonucleoprotein. It is involved in the co-translational targeting of proteins to membranes. The record is from Ensembl. NCBI's taxonomy places the organism in Eukaryota, Metazoa, Chordata, Mammalia, Primates, Cercopithecidae.
GCCAGGUGUGGUGGCUCAUACCUGUAAUCCCAGCACUUUGGGAGGCCGAGGCGGGUGGAUCACCUGAGGUCAGGAGUUCUAGACCAGCCUGGCCAACAUAGUGAGACCCCGUCUCUA